UCGCCUGUUUAUCAAAAACAUGGUCUCUUGAAAUUGUUUAGGAGAUCUAACCUGCCCACUGAAGAAUUUUUGAAGGGCCGCAGUAUUUUGACUGUGCAAAGGUAGCAUAAUCAUUAGUCUUUUAAUUGAAGGCUGGUAUGAAUGGUUGGAUGAGGUGAAUACUGUUUUAUAUUUAUUUUAAUUGAAUUUAGAUUUUAAGUAAAAAGACUUAAAUGUUAUUAAAGGAC
RNAcentral lists this ribosomal RNA (227 nucleotides) under Popa spurca spurca. Its description in RNAcentral is "partial 16S ribosomal RNA". It matches the Rfam family "Archaeal large subunit ribosomal RNA", at positions 1888 to 2143 of the family's 2987-position model. The record is from RNAcentral. Lineage: Eukaryota; Metazoa; Arthropoda; Insecta; Mantodea; Mantidae.